Molecule: long non-coding RNA, 1350 nt
Filed under: Bos indicus x Bos taurus (hybrid cattle)
Lineage: Eukaryota; Metazoa; Chordata; Mammalia; Artiodactyla; Bovidae
Description: lncRNA (ENSBIXG00000007327.1)
Source: RNAcentral
ACUCCCGCAUGCCCCGCAUCCAUCACACGCCCGCCUGCUGCCGCUGGGUCGCAGACGGGCAGGGAGGCCGGCUCAGUGGGGGCAGCCGCGCUCUCCUGCCCCCCGACCUGCCCCUCUCUGGGGGCGUCUGGGUUCAGCCGCCCAGCAGACGCAAGGUGGGCUCACAUCUCUGUCCCAGCUUUCAGCCAAGCUUCCGGAGGGUCCCAUUUGGACGAGGCACCCCUGUCACAGGCUGUCCGGGACCCCACAGCAGCCCCCAGCCUCCAUGGCCCCGGGCCCAUGGCUCUGACUCCAGGACCCCAGUGUCUGACCUGGGCAGGCUCAGGAAAAGAAACAAAAGACAAACGUGAAGAAAUCCUGGGGAGGAAUGAAGGUGGGAACUGUCCUCUGUGAGCGACCUCCGAUCUCGAAACCUGAGCCAGCUAACCCGUCACUGGUGCGAGGGGCUGAGCAGCCACCUGCCCUGCCACCCACCAGCCUCCCUGCUGGCCCUGGAGGAGGUGGGCUCUGGACCAGCCUGGUCAACCCCCGAGGCUGGCACGCGGUUGGGCACUCUCCCUUGGAACGGACACCAAGCAGCGACAGUUCCCGGGUGUGAGUUAGCUCUCGGGGGAUGCCCGCCAGCCAGUUGACUUGGAGCCUCAAGAUGUGGGGUUUUGGCCCCACUCACCCCCCAACACACCUCCGGGCCUCAAUGUCCCCUUCUUUAAAUGGAGAAGGCUGGUCUCGGUGACCUGGAAGAUACCUGCCGGUCCCACAUGAAAUCCUGUGACCCUAAGGAAGGUGGGCGGGCAGGGAGAUACCCCUGGUUGCCCCAGGAAGUCAUACCUGAGUGGCUUUUAGAUCAUAGGGGUCAACCUUUCUGUCCCCUUUGAAGUAUUUAUCGAGCUCGUGUUUGCGGAGGGCUGACCGCGGGCCAGGAGUUGUCCACGCACUUCUCAGCACUGUCUCACUUAAUGUUCCACAGACCUACCGGGCCCUUGUAUUGUCUCCAGUUUAUAGCUGUGGGAACCCAGGCACAGAGAGGUUAGGCUGUCUGCUUGAGGUCACACAGCUGUCAGCACGCUCCUGCCUGAUCUCCAACCCGGGGCUCCCAGGGAGCUGCAAAGUGCUCCUUUAAGCUUUGGGGCGGGGGGGGUCUCACUGUCAGGAACCGGGGCAGCCUAUCUUAACAUGCAGGCCAGAAGACCUCCCAGAAUCUCAUGAGCCCACCAAGGCCUCCCACAAAACUCCGUGGACACCCAAAACCUAAUGAUAUUUGUAGAAAUCCUUUCCAAAGCAGCUGUUCAAAUAAGGCGCCUCGUUAGUCAAGAAGCUGGCGUGGUCGGGGAACACACAACAGCUGGGUUC